AGUGAACGCUGGCGGUAGGCCUAACACAUGCAAGUCGAACGGCAGCACAGUAAGAGCUUGCCCUUACGGGUGGCGAGUGGCGGACGGGUGAGGAAUACAUCGGAAUCUACUUUUUCGUGGGGGAUAACGUAGGGAAACUUACGCUAAUACCGCAUACGACUUACGGGUGAAAGCAGGGGAUCUUCGGACCUUGCGCGAUUGAAUGAGCCGAUGUCGGAUUAGCUAGUUGGCGGGGUAAAGGCCCACCAAGGCGACGAUCCGUAGCUGGUCUGAGAGGAUGAUCAGCCACACUGGAACUGAGACACGGUCCAGACUCCUACGGGAGGCAGCAGUGGGGAAUAUUGGACAAUGGGCGCAAGCCUGAUCCAGCCAUACCGCGUGGGUGAAGAAGGCCUUCGGGUUGUAAAGCCCUUUUGUUGGGAAAGAAAAGCAGCAGGUUAAUACCCCGCUGUUCUGACGGUACCCAAAGAAUAAGCACCGGCUAACUUCGUG
This 492-nucleotide ribosomal RNA is filed under the name uncultured bacterium. Its description in RNAcentral is "partial 16S ribosomal RNA". It matches the Rfam family "Bacterial small subunit ribosomal RNA", at positions 29 to 507 of the family's 1533-position model. The record is from RNAcentral.